GAUGAACGCUGGCGGCGUGCUUAACACAUGCAAGUCGAACGGGAAACCUUUUAUUGAAGCUUCGGCAGAUUUAGCUGGUUUCUAGUGGCGGACGGGUGAGUAACGCGUGGGUAACCUGCCCUAUACAGGGGGAUAACAACCAGAAAUGGUUGCUAAUACCGCAUAAGCGCACAGGGCCGCAUGGUCCGGUGUGAAAAACUCCGGUGGUAUAGGAUGGAACCGCGUUGGAUUAGCCAGUUGGCAGGGUAACGGCCUACCAAAGCGACGAUCCAUAGCCGGCCUGAGAGGGUGAACGGCCACAUUGGGACUGAGACACGGCCCAGACUCCUACGGGAGGCAGCAGUGGGGAAUAUUGCACAAUGGGGGAAACCCUGAUGCAGCGACGCCGCGUGAAGGAAGAAGUAUCUCGGUAUGUAAACUUCUAUCAGCAGGGAAGAUAGUGACGGUACCUGACUAAGAAGCCCCGGCUAACUACGUG
Molecule: ribosomal RNA, 478 nt
Filed under: uncultured bacterium
Lineage: Bacteria
Description: partial 16S ribosomal RNA
Rfam family: Bacterial small subunit ribosomal RNA
Source: RNAcentral